Microtus ochrogaster (prairie vole) is the source of this 339-nucleotide long non-coding RNA. RefSeq lists it as uncharacterized. The transcript has 4 exons. The record is from RefSeq and is a predicted model, not a curated record. NCBI's taxonomy places the organism in Eukaryota, Metazoa, Chordata, Mammalia, Rodentia, Cricetidae.
AUAAGGGAGAGAAAAAGGGUGAAAUCAUUUUUCAUCUGUACAUCACAGCUGGUCUCAAGAUGUUUUCCUUCAAGAUGAUAGGAAAUGUCUGAUGGAAAGAAGACAGGAUUAUAGAAUUUCUGGAACUUUGAGCAUAAAAUUUGGCCAGGAUGAGAUGACGAGAGACUGGCUACAGUAGCAGCAGCAGCAGCAAAGUUUGCUAAAGAAGUCAUAGAAGAGCACUUAGAAGUUGUAUGCAGAAGGGUCAGGAAUUCAACGUUAUACUUGGCCACAGCAAGUUAUGGAGACUAGCCUGGGGAACUUGCAUACCUGUCUCAAAAAUAAAUGGGGACUGGAGAU